This 385-nucleotide ribosomal RNA is filed under the name uncultured bacterium. RNAcentral describes it as "bacterial SSU rRNA". It matches the Rfam family "Bacterial small subunit ribosomal RNA", at positions 30 to 417 of the family's 1533-position model. The record is from RNAcentral.
AUUGAACGCUGGCGGCAUGCCUUACACAUGCAAGUCGAACGGCAGCACGGGGCAACCUGGUGGCGAGUGGCGAACGGGUGAGUAAUGCAUCGGAACGUGCCAUUGAGUGGGGGACAACGUAGCGAAAGUUGCGCUAAUACCGCAUAUUCUGUGAGCAGGAAAGCAGGGGACCGCAAGGCCUUGCGCUCUUUGAGCGGCCGAUGUCAGAUUAGCUAGUUGGUGAGGUAAAGGCUUACCAAGGCGACGAUCUGUAGCGGGUCUGAGAGGAUGAUCCGCCACACUGGAACUGAGACACGGUCCAGACUCCUACGGGAGGCAGCAGUGGGGAAUUUUGGACAAUGGGCGCAAGCCUGAUCCAGCCAUGCCGCGUGAGUGAAGAAGGCCU